This 201-nucleotide long non-coding RNA is filed under the name Elaeis guineensis (African oil palm). Its description in RNAcentral is "long non-coding RNA (EGUI_LNC081741)". The record is from RNAcentral. Lineage: Eukaryota; Viridiplantae; Streptophyta; Magnoliopsida; Arecales; Arecaceae.
GCCAUGUUGUUGAUGCCCUACUAUAGACUGAAAAUGUGGUUGUGGUAGUCCACAGGACUAGCCACGAUUGAUGCUUUGCCAUGGGCUGGAAACAUAGUUGUAGUAGUUUGGAGUUGAGUACCUGUGGUCCCCCAGACUAGCCACUGUUGGUACCUUACAAUGGGUUGUAAACAUGAUUAUGGUAGUUAAGGUUUGAGUGUU